This 253-nucleotide ribosomal RNA is filed under the name uncultured bacterium. RNAcentral describes it as "partial 16S ribosomal RNA". It matches the Rfam family "Bacterial small subunit ribosomal RNA", at positions 524 to 776 of the family's 1533-position model. The record is from RNAcentral.
UACGGGGGGAGCAAGCGUUGUUCGGAUUUACUGGGCGUAAAGGGCGCGUAGGCGGCGUGACAAGUCACUUGUGAAAUCUCCGGGCUUAACCCGGAGCGGCCAAGUGAUACUGUCGUGCUAGAGUGCGGAAGGGGCUACUGGAAUUCUCGGUGUAGCGGUGAAAUGCGUAGAGAUGUGGAGGAACACCGAUGGCGAAGGCAGCCCCCUGGGCCGACACUGACGCUCAGGCACGAAAGCGUGGGGAGCAAACAGG